ACGGCACGACAGGGGAGCGCAGCAGCGCUGAGAGUGCGGCCGGCACGCGGCACGCAGACCCUCGAACCUGAUCCGGUUAGUACCGGCGAAGGGAGUCGAGAUCUCUCCUCC
Molecule: non-coding RNA, 111 nt
Filed under: Actinotignum schaalii
Lineage: Bacteria; Bacillati; Actinomycetota; Actinomycetes; Actinomycetales; Actinomycetaceae
Description: TPP sequence
Rfam family: TPP riboswitch aptamer (THI element)
About the family: Vitamin B(1) in its active form thiamin pyrophosphate (TPP) is an essential coenzyme that is synthesised by coupling of pyrimidine and thiazole moieties in bacteria. The previously detected thiamin-regulatory element, thi box was extended, resulting in a new, highly conserved RNA secondary structure, the THI element, which is widely distributed in eubacteria and also occurs in some archaea.
Source: RNAcentral